RNAcentral lists this ribosomal RNA (466 nucleotides) under uncultured bacterium. Its description in RNAcentral is "partial 16S ribosomal RNA". It matches the Rfam family "Bacterial small subunit ribosomal RNA", at positions 28 to 507 of the family's 1533-position model. The record is from RNAcentral.
GAUGAACGCUGGCGGCGUGCUUAACACAUGCAAGUCGAACGAUGAAGCCCAGCUUGCUGGGUGGAUUAGUGGCGAACGGGUGAGUAACACGUGAGUAACCUGCCCUUAACUCUGGGAUAAGCCUGGGAAACUGGGUCUAAUACCGGAUAGGAGCGUCCACCGCAUGGUGGGUGUUGGAAAGAUUUAUCGGUUUUGGAUGGACUCGCGGCCUAUCAGCUUGUUGGUGAGGUAAUGGCUCACCAAGGCGACGACGGGUAGCCGGCCUGAGAGGGUGACCGGCCACACUGGGACUGAGACACGGCCCAGACUCCUACGGGAGGCAGCAGUGGGGAAUAUUGCACAAUGGGCGCAAGCCUGAUGCAGCGACGCCGCGUGAGGGAUGACGGCCUUCGGGUUGUAAACCUCUUUCAGUAAGGAAGAAGCGAAAGUGACGGUACCUGCAGAAGAAGCACCGGCUAACUACGUG